UACGUAGGGCGCAAGCGUUAUCCGGAAUUAUUGGGCGUAAAGAGCUCGUAGGCGGUUUGUCGCGUCUGCCGUGAAAGUCCGGGGCUCAACUCCGGAUCUGCGGUGGGUACGGGCAGACUAGAGUGAUGUAGGGGAGACUGGAAUUCCUGGUGUAGCGGUGAAAUGCGUAGAGAUCCGGAGGAACACCGACGGCGUAGGCAGCGCCCUGGACGACACCUGACGCUGAGGCACGAAAGCUGGGGGAGCGAACAGG
This 253-nucleotide ribosomal RNA is filed under the name uncultured bacterium. Its description in RNAcentral is "partial 16S ribosomal RNA". It matches the Rfam family "Bacterial small subunit ribosomal RNA", at positions 524 to 776 of the family's 1533-position model. The record is from RNAcentral.